AUUGAACGCUGGCGGCAUGCCUUACACAUGCAAGUCGAACGGCAGCACGGGAGCAAUCCUGGUGGCGAGUGGCGAACGGGUGAGUAAUAUAUCGGAACGUGCCCAGUCGUGGGGAUAACGUAGCGAAAGCUACGCUAAUACCGCAUACUAUCUAUGGAUGAAAGCGGGGGAUCGCAAGACCUCGCGCGAUUGGAGCGGCCGAUAUCAGAUUAGGUAGUUGGUGAGGUAAAGGCUCACCAAGCCGACGAUCUGUAGCUGGUCUGAGAGGACGACCAGCCACACUGGGACUGAGACACGGCCCAGACUCCUACGGGAGGCAGCAGUGGGGAAUUUUGGACAAUGGGCGCAAGCCUGAUCCAGCAAUGCCGCGUGCAGGAUGAAGGCC
This 385-nucleotide ribosomal RNA is filed under the name uncultured bacterium. RNAcentral describes it as "bacterial SSU rRNA". It matches the Rfam family "Bacterial small subunit ribosomal RNA", at positions 30 to 416 of the family's 1533-position model. The record is from RNAcentral.